AAAAAUUGAUUUUAUCAAAGAAAAUGGCACUUCAUUUGAUCAAUGGGAUAUUCAGGAAGAGAAAUAAGAGCAAGAUAUCAGAAUGGAGAUACUGGUGGAGUCUGAUUUGGAGGGACAAACCGCAACACUGAAAGACUGCAUCAACACUACGGAGUAACUGAAUCAUGGAUGACUUGGACUACUGUCAGAGUAACUGAACCAUGGAUGACUUGGA
Molecule: long non-coding RNA, 214 nt
Organism: Oncorhynchus masou masou (cherry salmon)
Lineage: Eukaryota; Metazoa; Chordata; Actinopteri; Salmoniformes; Salmonidae
Exons: 3
Source: RefSeq, a predicted model, not a curated record